RNAcentral lists this long non-coding RNA (871 nucleotides) under Nicotiana tabacum (common tobacco). RNAcentral describes it as "long non-coding RNA (NTAB_LNC001157)". The record is from RNAcentral. Lineage: Eukaryota; Viridiplantae; Streptophyta; Magnoliopsida; Solanales; Solanaceae.
AACAAUCUCAGGGAGGUGGUUAUGAUUACUACAAUCAGCAGGCCCCACCACCGCAGCAACAAACUCCUGGUGGCACAGCUGCUUCAACCGAUAAUAGUGCCUACGGUUACAACCAGCAAUCAGCCUCGGGUUACAGCCAAGGACAAGCUUAUUCUCAAGAUGGCUAUGGUGGAUAUCAUGCACCUGCACCUCAAUCUGGUUAUCAGGGCACUGGUUAUGAGCAGCAACAAGGUUAUAGCUCUGCAGCUGGUUAUGGGAAUGCCUCAAACCCAACAUCAGAUGGCCAGAAUUCUUCAUAUGGUACACAAGGCGAUGGCAGUCAAGCACCUCCACCAGUUCAGUCAUCAGCCACGGGUCAACAAGGUAAUUACCCAUCUCAGGGCUCUACUCAGGCAGGCUAUGGGAUGCCACCAACUUCUCAAGGUGGGUAUGGGACGCCACCACCUGCAGGCUAUGCUGCGAGCUAUGGGGCCCCACAGGCCCAAAAGCCUUCUCCUAGUCAGCCAGCUUAUGGUCAGCCACAGCAGUCUCCUAGCGCACAAGGAGGUUAUGCCCAGCCUCCCCCAGCACAGCCUGGAUAUCCACAGCCAGCUGCUCAAUCAGGUUAUGCGCAGCCUGAUUCUGGCACUCAGCGACCUCCUGCUUCUGGCUAUGGUGCUCCAACAGCUCAGCCUGGUUAUGGUGCCCCACCUUAUGGGGCUCCACCUAGUUAUGGCCAACAGCAGCCACCACCUUACAACAGUGCCUAUGCUGGUGGUUACGCCCAGCCUCCAGCGUAUGCUUCUGAUGGCACAACUCCAGCGUCCCAGUCUGUUCAGCCUAGUGGUGGGGUUGCAAAAGCAUCACCUCAAAGUUAAUGUGAGUCAACUUU